AGAGUUUGAUCCUGGCUCAGGAUGAACGCUAGCGGCAGGCUUAAUACAUGCAAGUCGUGGGGCAGCACAGGUAGCAAUACUGGGUGGCGACCGGCAAACGGGUGCGGAACACGUACGCAACCUUCCUUUAAGCGGGGAACAGCCCAGGGAAACUUGGAUUAAUACCCCAUAAUACAAUUGGGUGGCAUCACUUGAUUGUUAAAGCUUCGGCACUUAAAGAUGGGCGUGCGGCUGAUUAGGUAGUUGGCGGGGUAACGGCCCACCAAGCCGACGAUCAGUAACUGGUGUGAGAGCACGACCAGUCACACGGGCACUGAGACACGGGCCCGACUCCUACGGGAGGCAGCAGUAAGGAAUAUUGGUCAAUGGACGCAAGUCUGAACCAGCCAUGCCGCGUGGAGGAUGAAGGCCCUCUGGGUUGUAAACUUCUUUUAUUGGGGAGGAAACCCAUCUUUUCUAAGGUGGUUGACGGUACCCUUUGAAUAAGCACCGGCUAACUCCGUGCCAGCAGCCGCGGUAAUACGGAGGGUGCAAGCGUUAUCCGGAUUCACUGGGUUUAAAGGGUGCGUAGGUGGGCAGGUAAGUCAGUGGUGAAAUCUCUAAGCUUAACUUAGAAACUGCCGUUGAUACUGUCUGUCUUGAAUGUAGUGGAGGUGAGCGGAAUAUGUCAUGUAGCGGUGAAAUGCUUAGAUAUGACAUAGAACACCCAUUGCGAAGGCAGCUCGCUACACUAUGAUUGACGCUGAGGCACGAAAGCGUGGGGAUCAAACAGGAUUAGAUACCCUGGUAGUCCACGCCCUAAACGAUGGAUACUCG
This 816-nucleotide ribosomal RNA is filed under the name uncultured soil bacterium. RNAcentral describes it as "bacterial SSU rRNA". It matches the Rfam family "Bacterial small subunit ribosomal RNA", at positions 8 to 819 of the family's 1533-position model. The record is from RNAcentral.